CGAAAAGUACUAUCAAUUAAAUAAAAUGGUGAAACAAAGAAUAGCGAAGAAGAAGCAAAUGCGCUUCACGCUAAUUCCAAGUACCAACACAAAACAAAUUCAAUGUUUGGUGAAGCAACUUGCUUAGUGGCGGACGGGUGAGUAACGCGUGAACAAUCCUGCCCCGUACAAAGGGAUAGCCUCGGGAAACCGGGAUUAAAACCAUAUAACACUUAACUGCCGCAUGGUAGUGAAGUCAAAUCGAUUAAGAGGUAUGGGAUGAGUUCGCGUCUGAUUAGCUAGUUGGUGAGGUAAGGGCUCACCAAGGCGACGAUCAGUAGCCGGCCUGAGAGGGUGAACGGCCACACUGGAACUGAGACACGGUCCAGACUCCUACGGGAGGCAGCAGUGGGGAAUAUUGCACAAUGGAGGGAACUCUGAUGCAGCGACGCCGCGUGAGUGAAGAAGGUCUUCGGAUCGUAAAACUCUGUCCUUGGUGAAGAAAAGGACGGUAGCCAAGGAGGAAGCCCCGGCUAACUACGUG
This 523-nucleotide ribosomal RNA is filed under the name uncultured bacterium. Its description in RNAcentral is "bacterial SSU rRNA". It matches the Rfam family "Bacterial small subunit ribosomal RNA", at positions 1 to 507 of the family's 1533-position model. The record is from RNAcentral.